RNAcentral lists this ribosomal RNA (502 nucleotides) under uncultured bacterium. RNAcentral describes it as "partial 16S ribosomal RNA". It matches the Rfam family "Bacterial small subunit ribosomal RNA", at positions 30 to 523 of the family's 1533-position model. The record is from RNAcentral.
AUUGAACGCUGGCGGCAGGCUUAACACAUGCAAGUCGAGCGGGGUGAUGGUGCUUGCACUAUCACUUAGCGGCGGACGGGUGAGUAAUGCUUAGGAAUCUGCCUAUUAGUGGGGGACAACAUCUCGAAAGGGAUGCUAAUACCGCAUACGUCCUACGGGAGAAAGCAGGGGACCUUUAUGACCUUGCGCUAAUAGAUGAGCCUAAGUCGGAUUAGCUAGUUGGUGGGGUAAAGGCCUACCAAGGCGACGAUCUGUAGCGGGUCUGAGAGGAUGAUCCGCCACACUGGGACUGAGACACGGCCCAGACUCCUACGGGAGGCAGCAGUGGGGAAUAUUGGACAAUGGGGGGAACCCUGAGCUAGCCAUGCCGCGUGUGUGAAGAAGGCCUUAUGGUUGUAAAGCACUUUAAGCGAGGAGGAGGCUCUUUUGGUUAAUACCCAAGAUGAGUGGACGUUACUCGCAGAAUAAGCACCGGCUAACUCUGUGCCAGCCGCCGCAGUAA